GAUUCCCCUAGUAGCGGCGAGCGAAGCGGGAAAAGCUCAAAUUUGUAAUCUGGCGCUUUCGGCGUCCGAGUUGUAAUCUCGAGAAGUGUUUUCCGCGUCAGACCGCACACAAGUCUCCUGGAACGGAGCGUCACAGUGGUGAGAACCCAGUACACGGUGCGGAUGCCUGAUGCUUUGUGAUACACUUUCGAAGAGUCGAGUUGUUUGGGAAUGCAGCUCAAAUUGGGUGGUAAAUUCCAUCUAAAGCUAAAUAUUGGCGAGAGACCGAUAGCGAACAAGUACCGUGAGGGAAAGAUGAAAAGCACUUUGGAAAGAGAGUUAACAGUACGUGAAAUUGUUGGAAGGGAAACGCUUGAAGUCAGACUUGCUAUUCGGAGCUUGCUUCGAUUCGCAGGCCCGCAUCAGUUUUCCGGGGCGGAAAAUCGUAAGGAGAAGGUAGCAGUUUCGGCUGUGUUAUAGCUCUUUACUGGAUUCGUCCUGGGGGACUGAGGAACGCAGCGUGCUUUUUGCAUGGGCUUCGGCCCAUCCACGCUUAGGAUGCGGGUGGAAUG
RNAcentral lists this ribosomal RNA (551 nucleotides) under Sporobolomyces salmonicolor. Its description in RNAcentral is "eukaryotic LSU rRNA". It matches the Rfam family "Eukaryotic large subunit ribosomal RNA", at positions 73 to 636 of the family's 3401-position model. The record is from RNAcentral. Lineage: Eukaryota; Fungi; Basidiomycota; Microbotryomycetes; Sporidiobolales; Sporidiobolaceae.